Molecule: transfer RNA, 87 nt
Filed under: Aliisedimentitalea sp. MJ-SS2
Lineage: Bacteria; Pseudomonadati; Pseudomonadota; Alphaproteobacteria; Rhodobacterales; Roseobacteraceae
Description: tRNA-Leu
Rfam family: tRNA
About the family: Transfer RNA (tRNA) molecules are approximately 80 nucleotides in length. Their secondary structure includes four short double-helical elements and three loops (D, anti-codon, and T loops). Further hydrogen bonds mediate the characteristic L-shaped molecular structure. tRNAs have two regions of fundamental functional importance: the anti-codon, which is responsible for specific mRNA codon recognition, and the 3' end, to which the tRNAs corresponding amino acid is attached (by aminoacyl-tRNA synthetases). tRNAs cope with the degeneracy of the genetic code in two manners: having more than one tRNA (with a specific anti-codon) for a particular amino acid; and 'wobble' base-pairing, i.e. permitting non-standard base-pairing at the 3rd anti-codon position.
Source: RNAcentral
GCCCAAGUGGUGGAAUUGGUAGACACAGGGGAUUCAAAAUCCCCCGGCUUAACGGCCUUGCCGGUUCGAGUCCGGCCUUGGGUACCA